RNAcentral lists this small nuclear RNA (112 nucleotides) under Rattus norvegicus (Norway rat). Lineage: Eukaryota; Metazoa; Chordata; Mammalia; Rodentia; Muridae. The record is from RNAcentral.
GUGCUCACUUUCUCACCACAUAUACUAAAAUUUCAGCGAACCACAGAAAAUUAGUUUGUCAGGGCCCGUGUGCAAGAAUGACAUGCGAAUCUGUGGAGCACUCCAUAUUUAU